UAUUUCAAGGUCCUCUUAUUUGAGAAUUUCGGUUGGAACUCAAACACACUUCUUGAGCUAAGAUACGUGAAAGAUGUCGUGUAAAGCUGAGAGUUUCUCAAGGAGUUUGAUCUGAUAGGCAAUUGGUUCGCAUAUUUCUAUAAUAUCAUCAGGACCAAUGUAACGUGGAGCUAACUUUCCCUUUAUUCCGAAUCGUUGUACGCCCUUAGUCGGCAAAACUCAAAGGUAUACGUGGUCGCUAGUUUCAAAUUGUAUAGGUCUCCUCCUUUUGUCGGAAUAGCUCUUUUGUCGAGACUGAGCUGCCUUAAGAUUUUCUUGGAUCACUUUCACCUUUUCUUCUGCAUCAGUUACCAAGUCUGGUC
This 362-nucleotide long non-coding RNA is filed under the name Setaria viridis. Its description in RNAcentral is "long non-coding RNA (SVIR_LNC009343)". Lineage: Eukaryota; Viridiplantae; Streptophyta; Magnoliopsida; Poales; Poaceae. The record is from RNAcentral.